AUUGAACGCUGGCGGCAGGCCUAACACAUGCAAGUCGAACGGUAACAGGAAACAGCUUGCUGUUUCGCUGACGAGUGGCGGACGGGUGAGUAAUGUCUGGGAAACUGCCUGAUGGAGGGGGAUAACUACUGGAAACGGUAGCUAAUACCGCAUAACGUCGCAAGACCAAAAGAGGGGACCCUCGGGCCUCUUGCCAUCGGAUGUGCCCAGAUGGGAUUAGCUUGUUGGUGGGGUAACGGCUCACCAAGGCGACGAUCCCUAGCUGGUCUGAGAGGAUGACCAGCCACACUGGAACUGAGACACGGUCCAGACUCUACGGAGGCAGCAGUGGGGAAUAUUGCACAAUAGGGCGCAAAGCCUGAUGCAGCCAUGCCGCGUGUAUGAAG
This 386-nucleotide ribosomal RNA is filed under the name uncultured bacterium. RNAcentral describes it as "bacterial SSU rRNA". It matches the Rfam family "Bacterial small subunit ribosomal RNA", at positions 30 to 410 of the family's 1533-position model. The record is from RNAcentral.